This 2705-nucleotide long non-coding RNA is filed under the name Homo sapiens (human). Its description in RNAcentral is "non-protein coding lnc-COL15A1-1:3". Lineage: Eukaryota; Metazoa; Chordata; Mammalia; Primates; Hominidae. The record is from RNAcentral.
GAAAAGAACAGGAGGGAAUGAGAGGCUCAGCCCCAUAGACCCUUCUCCCUGCUGCCAUCCACUCAGGGCAUUGUGCUUAGUGAAAGCCCAGUUUCCGCAGGGAUUACUUUGGGCACACAACAUUCUAGGAGCUGGAUGUCCAGGAAUUCCUGUUAAUUAGGCAUUUAUUCACGGAAUAAAUGUUUCCCUGAAGAGCUUUCUGCAGCUGGCCAAUGUUCCGGUUUGGUCGUGGGCAGUGAGAUGCCCAUUAGUCUAGAAUACACGACAGUGUGAGGCGCACGUUCACACGUGAAUUGCCCGUGAGUCAAGGAUCUUGCUAUGGUGCCCAGGCUGGCCUUGAACUUCUGGCCUCAAGCAAUCCACCCAUCUCAGUCUCCCGAGUAGCCGGGAUUACAGAUCUACAUUUAGAACAGGACUGCAAAGAAAGGAAAGGAGAAAUGAAGAAAAGGAAGCAGACAAAGUUCUGGUUUUCAGUAGUUCCUUGGAGAGCUCAAGACUCAGACUCUGACCCUGUCUGCAAAGGGGGAUCGUCCAGCCUUUGAAAUAACCAUUUCCUUCCCUCCUGGCCUUUUUCAGAUCAGAGAGGUGGGAGGGGGCGUGGAGAUUUAGUUCCCGGAUGCACUGAACAGGAGGCUGUGAGCUUUCCUCUGAUGUGCGACUCUUCUGCAGGGGCCCUGGCCCUGGGAGGCGGGGCUCUGGGCUGCGGCAGCUCCUCCUGUGGUCUACCUUGGCUUCACUGCAGGCCCAGCUGCUGCUGACCACGCGGGUUUCUUUUAAGAGGCUUGGCUGACCCUCAGCACAGCUGAAAUGUUCUGAGACCUUGAAUGUCAGAGAUGGAAGCAACUUUAUGAUUCUCUGGGCCAGAGGUUCCCAGGCUGGGGUCCCUGGACUUGGGGUGCUCAGACUAUUCCCGGUUCUUUCAAAAGCUGAAAAGAAACAGUAUAUAGCCCCUGUGUGAGGGCUCACGGGCUCGUAAAAGUAUCCGGUGUCUUGACUUUUCUCUGAAAUCAGCUCCAGCUGGUCCCUCUGUACCCUGGUGUUGCUGGUGACAGUGAUAGCUUCCCACUGAACUUAGCUGCUAGAAGCAAGGUGAAGCCCUUCACACACCAUCUCACUGAUCUUCGAUCCUGUAAGAUGGGUACGUUUAUGAGUCCUAUUUUGCAGAUGGAGACACUAAGUGCCAAAGGGGUUAAGCACUGUGCCCGAGUUCACACACCCAGCAGCCUGACUCCACAGCUCCAACCCCCAGCUACUAGCAAAUAGUCCUCUGAAAGCUCAGUUAUUUAGCUUUGAACACAGCAAAACUCAUCAUUAUUCAGGGAAGAUAAUUUAGUAGAGAAAAUGUUGAGAUCUAAGUACUACACUUAGGAGGAAUAAUAAAAGGGUUGGUGGAAUAGUUGAGGAUAUGCCAUUUUUAAUUUUUUAUUGAUUUUGUUUUGUUUUGUUUUGUUUUUCUUUGCUCUUGAGAGAUGGCACAUGCCACUUUGUUUUGUAAAACAAAGGCCUAGAGAAGUGAGGGUCCUGGGACUUUGACUCCAAAGCAUGUCUGGGACCCUGCACAUCUAACUCCUACCUAUGUCGCUGGUGGAACUUAUGCUCUUAACAAGGAGAUUUCUAUCUGAAUGUCCUGGGAGGUGCCUUCCAAUUCUUCCAUGAUUGCAUCUCUUGGAUGGUGGAGUGAGAAAUGAGAUUUAUCUUCUGAAGCCAAAACCCAUAUCUAACUGAUCAUGGCAUAUUUAGUGCUACAAAUGAAAUACAAAUAGAAAGACAUACUAAGCAUCCUUUCAAUUCUUCGUGACAAGAAGACCCUUCUGCAUCCAUAGCAACCAGGAAACACAGAAACAAGAACAUCCUUCAACCCUGAAUGAUUUCUGCAGUAAUAUCAUUUUAGAUUUUGUGCCUUGAACACAACUAUAGUUUUAUGUUUGCUUUUUGCAUAUAUUUUGUAUUUAUUUCAUAAAACAUGAAAGCAUUCUAAAAACACUAAAUAAUUCUCAUCUUACCCUCACCUCUACUAAUGAUGUUUCUUCCUGCUUAAAGCAUUCACAGCAUCUAUUGUUAUAUUUCUGAAAGAUUUGAAUUUUUUAAAAGUAGAGAUCUAAUAACAUGAGAGAAAUUUGAAAACAAGGUAAAAAGCCAUAAGCCUACCACUUUGACAGUGACAACCAUAUUUUUAUGUGCCCUUGCUGUUUUUACAACUCACGUGUGUUUAAAUAUUUUUUCAGACUAUUUCACCUAAUAUUUUAUCAGAAGCAUUUUCUAUAAUCCCAUAAAGUUUAUACCCGUCAUUUUUAAGGGCUAUAGAAUAUUUUUUCAAGGUUUAUACCAUAAUUUACUUAACUACCCUCCUUCCCCUUUUUGCAUAUUUGGGAUGAUUCCAGGUUUUCACUAAGCAGCUCUUUGAUGAAUAUUUUUCUGCAUAUGGCUUUUUCCAUAUUUCAGGGUAUUUUCUUAGGCUAGCUUCCCAGAAGGGGAUUACUGAGUCAAAGCACAUUAACAUUUUUAUGGCUUCAUAGUAUCUUUUGAAGAAGGUAGGUGUUCCAUUUCAUGAGGUCCACAAACAUAAAAGAGGAAAUUUGGCUUCAAAAACUCCCUUGUAACACAUGUACAUUAAAAUUUUGUCGUAGAGCUGUUCUGAUACUUUUCUAAGUAAUUAAAGCUUGCCCUUUUAAAUUAAACAAAUAUAAAAAGUUAUUUUUCACUUU